UACGGAGGGUGCAAGCGUUGUUCGGAAUUACUGGGCGUAAAGCGCACGUAGGCGGGUUUAUUUGUCGAUUGUGAAAGCCCCGGGCUCAACCUGGGAAUUGCAGUCGAAACGGUAAAUCUUGAAUGUUUGAGAGGAUGGCGGAAUUCCUGGUGUAGUAGUGAAAUACGUAGAUAUCAGGAGGAACACCGGAGGCGAAGGCGGCUAUCUGGCAAUACAUUGACGCUGAGGUGCGAAAGCGUGGGGAGCAAACAGG
This 253-nucleotide ribosomal RNA is filed under the name uncultured bacterium. Its description in RNAcentral is "partial 16S ribosomal RNA". It matches the Rfam family "Bacterial small subunit ribosomal RNA", at positions 524 to 776 of the family's 1533-position model. The record is from RNAcentral.